UACCGGAUAAUAUUUUGAACCGCAUGGUUCAAAAGUGAAAGACGGUCUUGCUGUCACUUAUAGAUGGAUCCGCGCUGCAUUAGCUAGUUGGUAAGGUAACGGCUUACCAAGGCAACGAUGCAUAGCCGACCUGAGAGGGUGAUCGGCCACACUGGAACUGAGACACGGUCCAGACUCCUACGGGAGGCAGCAGUAGGGAAUCUUCCGCAAUGGGCGAAAGCCUGACGGAGCAACGCCGCGUGAGUGAUGAAGGUCUUCGGAUCGUAAAACUCUGUUAUUAGGGAAGAACAUAUGUGUAAGUAACUGUGCACAUCUUGACGGUACCUAAUCAGAAAGCCACGGCUAACUACGUGCCAGCAGCCGCGGUAAUACGUAGGUGGCAAGCGUUAUCCGGAAUUAUUGGGCGUAAAGCGCGCGUAGGCGGUUUUUUAAGUCUGAUGUGAAAGCCCACGGCUCAACCGUGGAGGGUCAUUGGAAACUGGAAAACUUGAGUGCAGAAGAGGAAAGUGGAAUUCCAUGUGUAGCGGUGAAAUGCGCAGAGAUAUGGAGGAACACCAGUGGCGAAGGCGACUUUCUGGUCUGUAACUGACGCUGAUGUGCGAAAGCGUGGGGAUCAAACAGGAUUAGAUACCCUGGUAGUCCACGCCGUAAACGAUGAGUGCUAAGUGUUAGGGGGUUUCCGCCCCUUAGUGCUGCAGCUAACGCAUUAAGCACUCCGCCUGGGGAGUACGACCGCAAGGUUGAAACUCAAAGGAAUUGACGGGGACCCGCACAAGCGGUGGAGCAUGUGGUUUAAUUCGAAGCAACGCGAAGAACCUUACCAAAUCUUGACAUCCUUUGACAACUCUAGAGAUAGAGCCUUCCCCUUCGGGGGACAAAGUGACAGGUGGUGCAUGGUUGUCGUCAGCUCGUGUCGUGAGAUGUUGGGUUAAGUCCCGCAACGAGCGCAACCCUUAAGCUUAGUUGCCAUCAUUAAGUUGGGCACUCUAAGUUGACUGCCGGUGACAAACCGGAGGAAGGUGGGGAUGACGUCAAAUCAUCAUGCCCCUUAUGAUUUGGGCUACACACGUGCUACAAUGGACAAUACAAAGGGCAGCGAAACCGCGAGGUCAAGCAAAUCCCAUAAAGUUGUUCUCAGUUCGGAUUGUAGUCUGCAACUCGACUACAUGAAGCUGGAAUCGCUAGUAAUCGUAGAUCAGCAUGCUACGGUGAAUACGUUCCCGGGUCUUGUACACACCGCCCGUCACACCACGAGAGUUUGUAACACCCGAAGCCGGUGGAGUAACCUUUUAGGAGCUAGCCGUCGAAGGUGGGACAAAUGAUUGGGGUGAAGUCGUAACAAGGUAGCCGUAUCGGAAGGUGCGGCUGGAUCACCU
Molecule: ribosomal RNA, 1376 nt
Filed under: Staphylococcus aureus F57036
Lineage: Bacteria; Bacillati; Bacillota; Bacilli; Caryophanales; Staphylococcaceae
Description: bacterial SSU rRNA
Rfam family: Bacterial small subunit ribosomal RNA
Source: RNAcentral